This 443-nucleotide ribosomal RNA is filed under the name uncultured bacterium. RNAcentral describes it as "partial 16S ribosomal RNA". It matches the Rfam family "Bacterial small subunit ribosomal RNA", at positions 338 to 795 of the family's 1533-position model. The record is from RNAcentral.
CCUACGGGUGGCAGCAGUGGGGAAUAUUGGGCAAUGGGCGCAAGCCUGACCCAGCAACGCCGCGUGAAGGAAGAAGGCUUUCGGGUUGUAAACUUCUUUUCUGAGGGACGAAGAAAGUGACGGUACCUCAGGAAUAAGCCACGGCUAACUACGUGCCAGCCGCCGCGGUAAUACGUAGGUGGCAAGCGUUAUCCGGAUUUAUUGGGUGUAACGGGCGUGUAGGCGGGAAAGCAAGUCAGAUGUGAAAACUCGGGGCUCAACCCUGAGUCUGCAUUUGAAACUGUUGUUCUUGAGUGCUGGAGAGGCAAUCGGAAUUCCGGGUGUAGCGGUGAAAUGCGUAGAUAUACGGAGGAACACCAGUGGCGAAGGCGGAUGGCUGGACAGUAACUGACGCUGAGGCGCGAAAGCGUGGGGAGCAAACAGGAUUAGAUACCCGAGUAGUC